UGCCCNCUGAUAAUUAUUAAAGGGCUGCAGUAUAUUGACUGUACAAAGGUAGCAUAAUCAUUAGUCAUUUAAUUGAUGACUUGUAUGAAAGAUUGGAUGAAAUAUGAACUGUCUUAAAUUUAAUCUUUAGAAUUUAAUUUUUUAGUUAAAAAGCUAAAAUUUAUUAAAAAGACGAGAAGACCCUAUAGAGUUUAAUUAAAAUUUUUAUUAAAAUUUUUUUAUUUUAAUUUAAUUAAUUUAUAAAUAUUAAUUUUUAUUUUAAUUUUGUUGGGGUGAUAGAAAAAUUAAAGUAACUUUUUUUGAAUUUAUUUACAUAAAUAAAUGAAUAAAUGAUCCAUUAAUAAUGAUUAAAAGAAAUAAUUACCUUAGGGAUAACAGCGUAAUUUUUUUUUUUAGUUCAUAUAAAAAAAAGAGUUUGCGACCUCGAUGUUGGAUUAAGAUAAAAUUUAAAUGUAGAAGUUUAAAGUUUUGA
RNAcentral lists this ribosomal RNA (472 nucleotides) under Euproctis marginata. RNAcentral describes it as "partial large subunit ribosomal RNA". The record is from RNAcentral. Lineage: Eukaryota; Metazoa; Arthropoda; Insecta; Lepidoptera; Erebidae.